CCAGGUUCCUGCCUUACGUACGUGAGUUCCGCCCUCACUGCUUUUGAUGAUGAACUGUUCUACGGAACUGCACCCAGGACACCAACAUGCUGAGUUCUAGUGAGAAAGGGAAUGAGCCCCUCCUUGGGUUCAAGCAUCCUUUCUCUGUGAUCCUAGACCUCAGAUCUAGCAGAGCCUCAAAUUACAAGGAUGUGAAGACUGGCAUGGCCAUCGUGUGAGAAAGCUCACCCGCACCUAAUCCUCUCACUUUAGUCUGUGAUGUGUGCACUCUGGCUGUUGGUGGAAGGCAUAGCUUGCAGCCCUGGAAGGAGAGUAUCCUAAAUGUUUUGUCCAGGGUGGUGCAAAAGUUUAUGCAUGGCCAUUCCAAAAUUUGAGCUGGAUAGCUGCUCCAGUUGGAGUGACAGAUGAGAUAGAACCAGUGGGUCUGUUUUUAGCUACCCGCUAUUAAAUCUCAUCCAUAAUCAAAGAACUCUUAUUGGCCGGGCAGUGGUGGCGCUCACUUUUAAUCCCAGCACUUCGGAAGCAGAGACAGACCUAUUUGUGAGUUCCAGGCCAGCCUGAUUUACAAAGCAAGUUCCAGGACAGGCUCCAAAGCUACAGAUAACCCUUAUUUCGAGUUGAUACAAGGGCCCAUGUUAGAAACCUCAUUGGAUAAAUCAAGCAUUCUGUAAGCCUUCACAGAAGAACCAGAAGAGACAUCAUAGGCAAUGACGUCUACUAUGGAGAAGAUGUCAAUUUUAGUGUGAAGCAUUGUCCUUCCCUUGAUAGAAGAGGCCAAUAUAAUCAAUCUGUCACCAAGAGACUGACUAAAAGCCUCAUGGGAGUUCUAAAAGACAGAAGCUAACUGGUGUCUGUCAGGGAGUCCUCCUGUCCACAUGGCUGUUUACUGCAUCUUUUGAGGUGAAUGCCCUCUGGUAAGCAAUGACUUGAGACACAAAGAUACCACAUCUUGUGCCAAGGCACAUAAGUUCAUCCAAGUACUUCUCACUCAGGCCUCUUUGUCCCCAGAUUCCCUAUCCUGCUCUUUGCAUGUGUUUUUGAUGCACUAUAACUGGAGAUAGAGUCAUCCAGAGGUCCAGGUGAGGAAGGCAGGACCCCUGGGAUGGUGCUAUCAGGAGUAAUGGGAUCUCUAAAAGCAGAUGCCUAGUGGGUGGUCACUAUGGCCAUAAUAUUCUGACUCUCUGAAGUUCCUGAGAAAGUUGCCAUGAAAGAAGCAAGUGUGCUCCCCCACUCCAUGCUCCCCUACUGCAGGCACAAGUUUGCAAUCACUUGUUCCUUCAUGCUCCCCACCAUCUGCCGUUCCUCAGAAAUGACCCUAUGAAAGCCUUGAACCUCUAAGACAUAAGCCAAAAACCUCCUUGCUUUCCUUGUUUUGUUUUUGUUGUUAUUGUUGUUGUUUGUUUGUUUUUCAAGACAGGAUUGUCCUGGAACUCACUCUGUGGACCAGACUGGCCUCAAACCCAGAUAUCUACCUGCCUCUGCCUCUUGAGUGCUGGAAUUAAAGCUCACCCCAAGGCACAAGAUUUUUCCUCCAUCAGUUUAUCAUACAAAGGCGAUGGCAUGAUCUGAGAAACUGACUCUGAUACAGCAGAGGAGGAAGACACUGGGAUCCUGGCCAUGUGUUCACUUAAUUGCCUUGUGUUCUUUGGAUCUACUCCCAGUAACCUUCCAUCAUACUUGAAAGGCAGCUCCAGCUUCAAAGUCAUUUGAUGUCUCAUGACCACAGUGUACCGAAGCCUUUGUAGCCACAUCUUUGCUAAUUUAAAGAAUUAUUUUCUGAGCAAGAUGUGGUGGUACAUGUCUGUAAUCCUAGCACUUGGGAAGCUGAAGCAAGAGGACCAUGAGUAGAAGAGCCAGGUCUUGAGACUGAAAAUACACUAAAACAUUGCAUGACUGGAAGACUCCCCCCACAUCUUCUCUGUCCCAUGAAUAAGAGCUGUUAUGUGACAGGCCACGUGGAAGCUCCACCUCUUCCACUGAGAUGACAACACACAGUUCUUCCCUGGCCCUUUGGAGCUGCCAUAGCAGAUUUUAAAGAUCCAGAGACAGGUGGACCAAUUGAAUCGAAUGGAAGACCCCAAUAUCA
This 2086-nucleotide long non-coding RNA is filed under the name Cricetulus griseus (Chinese hamster). Its description in RNAcentral is "lncRNA (ENSCGRG00015043137.1)". The record is from RNAcentral. Lineage: Eukaryota; Metazoa; Chordata; Mammalia; Rodentia; Cricetidae.